This is a long non-coding RNA of Ahaetulla prasina, 364 nucleotides long. RefSeq lists it as uncharacterized. The record is from RefSeq and is a predicted model, not a curated record. The transcript is spliced from 3 exons. Lineage: Eukaryota; Metazoa; Chordata; Lepidosauria; Squamata; Colubridae.
GACAGGAUAGGAGCCUUCAAAUAUCUGAGGGGCUGCCACAGAUGAGGGCGGUCAAGCUGUUUUCCAAGGUUCUUGAAGGCCAGAAAAACCUGGGGUUUGUCCCAAGGCCCCUCCAGGCACAAUCACUACUUGUCCCGUGCUGUGUAGAAGUGACUGGGGCUGCAAAGGGAAAAAAAAAUGUUGCCCUUAUGCUUGCAAGAUUGACUGCAUGGAUCCCGUCUAAGGUUCCUGCCAAUCAAGAUUCACCAUUCAACUUUUCCGAAUUGUGUCUGGUGCCUCAACUUGAACCAAAGACCCAGCAGUUGCCAUGGGGACCCUUCCCCUCAAAUACACGGUGGACUUAUUCUUCUUUUCUCAAAAUAAA